RNAcentral lists this ribosomal RNA (510 nucleotides) under uncultured bacterium. RNAcentral describes it as "bacterial SSU rRNA". It matches the Rfam family "Bacterial small subunit ribosomal RNA", at positions 15 to 518 of the family's 1533-position model. The record is from RNAcentral.
GAUCCUGGCUCAGGAUGAACGCUGGCGGCGUGCCUAAUACAUGCAAGUCGAACGAGGGUGCUUGCACCCUAGUGGCGAACGGGUGAGUAACACGUAGGUAACCUGCCCUUAAGCUUGGGAUACCCAGAGGAAACUUUGGCUAAUACCGGAUAACAACGGAAGAGGCAUCUCUUCAGUUUGAAAGGCCCUUUACGGGGUCACUUAGGGAUGGACCUGCGGCGCAUUAGCUAGUUGGUGAGAUAACAGCCCACCAAGGCGAGGAUGCGUAGCCGACCUGAGAGGGUGAUCGGCCACAUUGGAACUGAGACACGGUCCAAACUCCUACGGGAGGCAGCAGUAAGGAGUUUUCGGCAAUGGGGGAAACCCUGACCGAGCAACGCCGCGUGAGUGAAUGACGGCCCUAUGGGUUGUAAAGCUCUGUUGUAAGGGACGAAUGAUUCGCUUAGGAAAUGAAGCGGAUUUGACGGUACCUUACCAGAAAGCCACGGCUAACUACGUGCCAGCCGCCGC